CUUCAGCGACCCCAACCACAGCGGACGGUCCUCCGGCCGGUCCUGUCCGUAAGUGGCCAGCAGAGCCUGGGCCUC
Non-coding RNA from Streptomyces acidiscabies, 75 nucleotides. It matches the Rfam family "ASpks TB sRNA". The record is from Rfam. NCBI's taxonomy places the organism in Bacteria, Bacillati, Actinomycetota, Actinomycetes, Kitasatosporales, Streptomycetaceae.